RNAcentral lists this ribosomal RNA (497 nucleotides) under uncultured bacterium. Its description in RNAcentral is "partial 16S ribosomal RNA". It matches the Rfam family "Bacterial small subunit ribosomal RNA", at positions 28 to 507 of the family's 1533-position model. The record is from RNAcentral.
GAUGAACGCUGGCGGCGUGCCUAAUACAUGCAAGUCGAGCGAACAGACGAGGAGCUUGCUCCUCUGACGUUAGCGGCGGACGGGUGAGUAACACGUGGAUAACCUACCUAUAAGACUGGGAUAACUUCGGGAAACCGGAGCUAAUACCGGAUAACAUGUUGAACCGCAUGGUUCAACAGUGAAAGACGGUCUUGCUGUCACUUAUAGAUGGAUCCGCGCCGCAUUAGCUAGUUGGUAAGGUAACGGCUUACCAAGGCAACGAUGCGUAGCCGACCUGAGAGGGUGAUCGGCCACACUGGAACUGAGACACGGACCAGACUCCUACGGGAGGCAGCAGAAGGGAAUCUUCCGCAAUGGGCGAAAGCCUGACGGAGCAACGCCGCGUGAGUGAUGAAGGUCUUCGGAUCGUAAAACUCUGUUAUUAGGGAAGAACAAAUGUGUAAGUAACUAUGCACGUCUUGACGGUACCUAAUCAGAAAGCCACGGCUAACUACGUG